This 397-nucleotide ribosomal RNA is filed under the name uncultured bacterium. RNAcentral describes it as "partial 16S ribosomal RNA". It matches the Rfam family "Bacterial small subunit ribosomal RNA", at positions 523 to 918 of the family's 1533-position model. The record is from RNAcentral.
AUACGUAGGGGGCGAGCGUUGUCCGGAAUGAUUGGGCGUAAAGGGCGCGUAGGCGGCCCGGUAAGUCUGGAGUGAAAGUCCUGCUUUUAAGGUGGGAAUUGCCUUGGAUACUGUCGGGCUUGAGUGCAGGAGAGGUAAGUGGAAUUCCCAGUGUAGCGGUGAAAUGCGUAGAGAUUGGGAGGAACACCAGUGGCGAAGGCGACUUACUGGACUGUAACUGACGCUGAGGCGCGAAAGUGUGGGGAGCAAACAGGAUUAGAUACCCUGGUAGUCCACACUGUAAGCGAUGAAUGCUAGGUGUAGGGGGUAUCGACCCCUUCUGUGCCGCAGUUAACACAAUAAGUAUUCCGCCUGGGGAGUACGGCCGCAAGGUUGAAACUCAAAGGAAUUGACGGGG